GGAUAGCUCAGUCAGUUGAGCCUGAGACUCGGAAUCUCAGGGUUGUGGGUUCAUGCCCCACGUUGGGCA
Non-coding RNA from Podarcis lilfordi (Lilford's wall lizard), 69 nucleotides. The record is from the annotation of a GenBank genome assembly. NCBI's taxonomy places the organism in Eukaryota, Metazoa, Chordata, Lepidosauria, Squamata, Lacertidae.